Xenia sp. Carnegie-2017 is the source of this 1060-nucleotide long non-coding RNA. RefSeq lists it as uncharacterized. The transcript has 4 exons. Lineage: Eukaryota; Metazoa; Cnidaria; Anthozoa; Malacalcyonacea; Xeniidae. The record is from RefSeq and is a predicted model, not a curated record.
UGAAAUCAACAAUAAAAAUUCUUGCCACUGGCCCACUCCAUGACUCUUGCAGUUGCAAUGUUUUGCAAUCUGCAAUAUUCUUGCUUAUGAUGGGAAAUUUCUCGUAAAAGUAUAAACAGAUGGCAAAUAUUAGUAUGGUCUAUGUUUGCUAUGUUUAAAAAUGUUAUUCCGAGGAAGGAAGUGGACUUUGUGGAUCUUUUAAUGAUGUUUACACUGUGGAGGACAGUAAUGCGAUAAUGCUUACCAAGGAUGCAGGAGUAAGCACUACCAGUAGAUCAUUUCUUUAUCAAUCCAUUUCAAGAAAAAUGCUGAAGAAAGAGAGAAGACAAGUUUUAACAUCCGGCAUAUUGUAUUCAGGGAAAACACCACAUUUAAUGCACUCUUGAUUCGUCCGGACAGUGGUUAUACUGUGGAUCAUCCCGAUAGGUGCUAGGAGCACGAUGGGUAUGGACCUAUAGCACUGUACAAGUCAGACUGAGAAUUGGUGGCAUUGGAUAGCAGCGCUUUAGACAUGCCUGGGGUUGUGAAGACUGGGACCUAGUAGACAAAAUCUUGUCAGAAGGCCUAGAAAUCGAAUGCUUGGAGGUGCUUAACUUUUUUCAUUUUUAUCACACAAAAAAAAGGGAAUAUGGAAAGAUUCGGAACAAUAGCUGCAAUGAAAAUUUAUUGUCGCAUGGAGAUUCAAAAUUCUUUGAUAGAAACAACAUAUAAUACAGGCUGAUAGUUGAAUAAAAACAUAAAACAAUGCAUUGUAAUAAUAUUUUUCUAUCCAAUUCAUUCCUUUGAGUUUUUAGUUUUAAAUUCAUGUGUGCAAAAGGAGCUGGUCAUUUGCCAUUGAAGACCUUUGUAUAAUUUUAAUGUCUGUCACUGUGCAAAGCCCACAGGUGCAUAAAAUAUUGUUAGCUUUGUAGUUGCAAGCACAAAAGCUUGUCUCCAUUAGAAAUGUAAUGCACGUUUGGAGAUUAGCACAGUGAUUGGGCUUCAAAAUUUUACAAUAGUUUAAUUGCCAAAACUCGUUUUUAUGUACACUCUGUAGAAAGCAAAUUAAAGAAAUCAGAUG